RNAcentral lists this long non-coding RNA (319 nucleotides) under Elaeis guineensis (African oil palm). RNAcentral describes it as "long non-coding RNA (EGUI_LNC047275)". The record is from RNAcentral. Lineage: Eukaryota; Viridiplantae; Streptophyta; Magnoliopsida; Arecales; Arecaceae.
CUUCACACAUUAAUGGAUCAAGAAUCUUUUCUGAUCUUUUGUUGAUUUCUUUCUCAAAGAAAUCCAGCGCUGCCCUUCUCUCUUUCCUCUUUCUCUUUUCUUCUUCUAAGAACUCUUCUUGGAUGUGAGUCUUGUCAAGGCUCUUUUCCUCUUUGAUGCCUAACAAGCAUGGGUGCGAGGGCUUAAGACGUGAAGCCCCAAGGAUGCGUGAAGAGGGCGUGGAACCUAUCCUAGGUAUGUAUCAGAUUUAAUUUAAUGCACGGGCGUAGAAGUUUUACAUGAGGAAAAUCUCUUGCUCAAAAGGCUUAGGUGCACCCUC